Molecule: small RNA, 106 nt
Filed under: Marmota monax (woodchuck)
Lineage: Eukaryota; Metazoa; Chordata; Mammalia; Rodentia; Sciuridae
Source: RNAcentral
GCUGGGUAUGGUGGCACAUGCCUAUAAUCCCAGCAGCUUGGAAGGUGAGGCAGGAGGAUUGCCAGUUCAAAACCAGCCUCAGCAACUUAGCGAGACCCUGUCUUUA